RNAcentral lists this ribosomal RNA (472 nucleotides) under uncultured organism. RNAcentral's name for it is "partial 16S ribosomal RNA". It matches the Rfam family "Bacterial small subunit ribosomal RNA", at positions 333 to 797 of the family's 1533-position model. The record is from RNAcentral.
ACACUCCUACGGGAGGCAGCAGUGGGGAAUUUUGGACAAUGGGGGCAACCCUGAUCCAGCAAUGCCGCGUGAGUGAAGAAGGCCUUCGGGUUGUAAAGCUCUUUUGUCAGGGAAGAAACGGUAGUAGCGAAUAACUAUUACUAAUGACGGUACCUGAAGAAUAAGCACCGGCUAACUACGUGCCAGCAGCCGCGGUAAUACGUAGGGUGCAAGCGUUAAUCGGAAUUACUGGGCGUAAAGCGUGCGCAGGCGGUUGUGUAAGUCAGAUGUGAAAUCCCCGGGCUCAACCUGGGAAUUGCAUUUGAGACUGCACGGCUAGAGUGUGUCAGAGGGGGGUAGAAUUCCACGUGUAGCAGUGAAAUGCGUAGAUAUGUGGAGGAAUACCGAUGGCGAAGGCAGCCCCCUGGGAUAACACUGACGCUCAUGCACGAAAGCGUGGGGAGCAAACAGGAUUAGAAACCCUUGUAGUCCC